GGAGAUACCAUAUGCAACUUUACAUAUUGUAAACCGAUUUCGUCAAUUCAUCAUGAAGAAGUAUGACUAACAUAUAGAUCCUUUUAAACAUGAUUACUAAGAACGAAAAAAUGCCAGAAUCGAAGCCAAAUGCUCUGAUACCAAUGUUAUUCUUUUAUGCGGAAGCGUUAAACCGGAACACAUACCUUGGCCGGUUUACUGACGUAUUUGGCACGGAAUCGACUGGGAAUUGACGCAGAGAUCGGGGUUGAAGUCACAAACGGAAAUCAACCACAAGCCACCGUUCAAGUGCCUUUCCGGUUGAUCUCUCGAAGCUUUCUCUCUCUAAAACGUUUUUCUCUCUCUAGAACUCUCUUUGUAUCAAUAGUCACAAAAGACU
Molecule: long non-coding RNA, 379 nt
Filed under: Arabidopsis lyrata
Lineage: Eukaryota; Viridiplantae; Streptophyta; Magnoliopsida; Brassicales; Brassicaceae
Description: long non-coding RNA (ALYR_LNC002490)
Source: RNAcentral